Molecule: long non-coding RNA, 472 nt
Organism: Alligator sinensis (Chinese alligator)
Lineage: Eukaryota; Metazoa; Chordata; Crocodylia; Alligatoridae
Exons: 3
Source: RefSeq, a predicted model, not a curated record
GCAGGACUGGAGCUGGCGGUGGCUGGUGUGUGAUGUCCUGGACCCCCUGCAACAAAACUGGUCCCAUGCACUCUUAUCAUGACAGUAUUCUAGAGCCUCACAUACCGUGAUGGAUUUAUCAACCAGACACAUCCAGAAGGGAGGAACAGAUGAUUCGAUCCCCAUUUCACAGGAAUCUGGGAGCUCAAACUUGCACCCAGCUGUUGCAAGUGCCUUCACCAGGCUUGGGGGAGUCCCAGCCAGGAGAAACAUUGUGAGACUACAGUAUACAAAACGGGCGAUGUGUCUAUGGUGGUCAUAAAGGGCUGUCUCGGGGCUCAGGAUAUUCUACAGGAGGACAUAAACUAUCUGUUCUAGGAAGCAACCUCUACCCGAGCUCCCAGUUCAUGUCUAAUACAAAAGCAACCAAUAAAAACCAUUUUGUAACAUUUGUCACUAACACCCUUGAAGAACUACAUGAAUAUCAAUUAAU